RNAcentral lists this long non-coding RNA (1469 nucleotides) under Equus asinus (donkey). Its description in RNAcentral is "lncRNA (ENSEASG00005024506.1)". Lineage: Eukaryota; Metazoa; Chordata; Mammalia; Perissodactyla; Equidae. The record is from RNAcentral.
CGGGGAGCAGCAAGGGCCAAAAUACCUGCAGCGAGGGCUCUGGCAGAUGAAGAUCAGCAGAGGAGGAAAGAAGCUAAUGAAAGCAAGCAUCAGAGGAUCGGACGGGUGGAGCCUAAGGAAACCGCGAGGAGGGCCUGCGUCCUGCAAGCACGGGCAGCAACUAGAGUGCACAGGGGCCAGAGAUGGAAGUUUUGGCUCUCACUGUCAGCCAGGGGGCAGUUCACCAUGCCCCCUGCCAGGGUGCCUCCCACUGCCCCAGGAACCAGGGCCUGCCAAGGGAGUCCACACUCGAUGACAGACAGGAUAAAGGAGCUAGGCAACCGGGCCCAGGUGUCCUCCACUGCAGUUUUGGGUUCCAUCGGAGAAAAUGGCUCCAGCAUCCUUUCUGGAGCCCUUUACUCAGCUGGCUUUUAUGGAGGAGGGGGAGAACAGAGAACAAGUCAUGUACAAUGAGAAAAACAGCAGCUCUGCCGUGGCUGCGGUAACAAAGAACCACAAGCUUUGUGGCCUAAAACAACACAACGUUAUUCUCUUUUAGUUCUGGAAGUCAGAAGUCCAAAAGAAGUCUUACGGAGCUACCAUCAACAUGGCAGCAAGUACAGCGUAUACAGUCAAGCGCACGAAUCUUUCUCGAACAGCUCUGUAACACGUGAGGUUUUCCUGAAGUGCCUCUGAGAUGAAGAUUUGCAUUCUGCUGGUUUACAGGGGAGCGAUUAGAGAUCGACACUGAGGGCAGAGCUAAGUAAUGACUAGGUUAAUGCUCCCCUCCUCUAAGGGGAAAGCAUCCAGCAGAUCACCCUGAGAAUACAGCAAAACCCCUGAAGUAUACAAAAAUGGCAUCCAAGAACUCAACAUAUUCAUCAUAAAGUACGGAGACUAAAGGCUGCCUUUGGUAGACUCAUAAAUAGAGCAGAUUUUUAGUAGCAAGAAAGUCUCUUUAAGACCGGGGAUCUUGUAACCUAACUUCAUCAUUUUCGGGUAGGGGAAACUGACGUCCUGAGAGAUUAUUGCCGAGGUCACACCAGCGGUUCGUAGUGCAGAGUUUUAGUCCACACACGUGAGUUCCCACGCGGACCUAUUCCUAGCUUACUGAUUCUUAUUUCUCAUACAACGCCCACAGUACUGAUCAUCUAUUUUCCUAUCUCAGAGUUCACAUGAUGGCUAUAGGGUGGAAGAGAGGGGAACGCUAGGCAGAAACAGCAGCAAAAAGAAAAAAAUUAACAGCCUGAUAAUGCAGGAGGAGAGAGAACCAGUGAAGUAGAAGUUCCAGAAAGCAGCCUGGGAACAUCUAGUGUGAAAACCUCUUGAUAAUUCCUGAAGAACUUGCAACGCUCCACAGCUUAGGAUCAUAACGACUUCGAGUCAUGAAGCAAAGAUGAAAUUGUACGCAUUUUAUGAAAUGGUGAGAAAUGUGUUAUCCUUAUUAAAAUAGUUUCCAUCCAAUACCAUCCUUUGUAUGAGGUUUUGAG